This 252-nucleotide unclassified non-coding RNA is filed under the name uncultured Caryophanales bacterium. RNAcentral's name for it is "uncultured Bacillales bacterium contains 16S-23S intergenic spacer region". It matches the Rfam family "Bacterial small subunit ribosomal RNA", at positions 524 to 776 of the family's 1533-position model. Lineage: Bacteria; Bacillati; Bacillota; Bacilli; Caryophanales. The record is from RNAcentral.
UACGUAGGUGGCAAGCGUUGUCCGGAAUUAUUGGGCGUAAAGCGCGCGCAGGCGGUUUUUUAAGUCGGGUGUAAAAGGCAAUGGCUCAACCAUUGUAAGCAUGCGAAACUGGAGAACUUGAGUGCAGAAGAGGAGAGUGGAAUUCCCGGUGUAGCGGUGGAAUGCGUAGAUAUCGGGAGGAACACCAGUGACGAAGGCGGCUCUCUGGACUGUAACUGACGCUGAGGCGCGAAAGCGUGGGGAGCAAACAGG